AAUAGCUCACUAGUCGAGUCGGCCUGCGCGGAAGAUGUAACGGGGCUCAAACUGGUCACCGAAGCUGCGGCUGCAUACUUUGUAUGCGGGGUAGGGGAGCGUUCUGUAAGCCUGCGAAGGUGUGUUGAGAAGCAUGCUGGAGGUAUCAGAAGUGCGAAUGCUGACAUGAGUAACGACAAUGCGGGUGAAAAACCCGCACGCCGGAAGACCAAGGGUUCCUGCGCAACGCUAAUCGGCGCAGGGUGAGUCGGCCCCUAAGGCGAGACCGAAAGGUGUAGUCGAUGGGAAACGGAUUAAUAUUUCCGUACCUUGGAUAGCUGCGAUGGAGAGACGGAGAAGGCUAGGUGAGCCGGGCGACGGUUGUCCCGGUUUAAGCAUGUAGGCAGUGGGAUUAGGCAAAUCCGGUCCCACAAUGCCGAGACGCGACGACGACUGCCCUUUUAGGGCGGGAAGUCAUUGAUGCCCUGCUUCCAGGAAAAUCUUCUAAGCUUCAGGCUAUUCGAGACCGUACCCCAAACCGACACAGGUGGUCAGGUAGAGAAUACCAAGGCGCUUGAGAGAACUCGGGUAAAGGAACUAGGCAAAAUGGUGCCGUAACUUCGGGAGAAGGCACGCUGGUGGUAAGUGAAAUCCCUGCGGGUGGAGCUGAAGCCAGUCGAAGAUACCAGGCCCCUGCGACUGUUUAUUAAAAACACAGCACUGUGCAAACACGAAAGUGGACGUAUACGGUGUGACGCCUGCCCGGUGCCGGAAGGUUAAUUGAUGGGGUUAGCGCUUGCGCGAAGCUCUUGAUCGAAGCCCCGGUAAACGGCGGCCGUAACUAUAACGGUCCUAAGGUAGCGAAAUUCCUUGUCGGGUAAGUUCCGACCUGCACGAAUGGCGUAACGAUGGGGGCGCUGUCUCUACCCGAGACUCAGUGAAAUUGAAAUCGCCGUGAAGAUGCGGUGUAUCCGCGGCUAGACGGAAAGACCCCGUGAACCUUUACUAUAGCUUCACAGUGAACUUUGAGCAUGUUUGUGUAGGAUAGCUGGGAGGCUUUGAAACCAGGACGCCAGUUCUGGUGGAGCCAACCUUGAAAUACCAGCCUGACCUGUUUGAGGUUCUAACUUCGACCCCUUAUCGGGGUUAAGGACACUGUGUGGUGGGUAGUUUGACUGGGGCGGUCUCCUCCCAAAGCGUAACGGAGGAGCACAAAGGUGGGCUAAGCAUGGUCGGACAUCAUGCGGUUAGUGUAAUGGCACAAGCCCGCUUAACUGCGAGACAGACACGUCGAGCAGGUACGAAAGUAGGUCAUAGUGAUCCGGUGGUUCUGUAUGGAAGGGC
Molecule: ribosomal RNA, 1323 nt
Filed under: seawater metagenome
Description: bacterial LSU rRNA
Rfam family: Bacterial large subunit ribosomal RNA
Source: RNAcentral